UAGACACUGACCCUCGGCUCAAAGUGAUAAAAUCCUAAGCAGUCUUUGCUCCACCUGCCCAAACUUCUCUCCGGAGUUCAGAGAUCAGGGAUUCAUACAUCUCAACACCUCCAUUCUUGCAGGUGCUUGAACAAGUGACUUACUUACAAUCCAUCCUCAUUAGCCAUGUGAUGCACCCAGUUAGAUCUUACCAGGAUGGAAUUGACUUCUUUGGAUGUUGCAAUGGCCUGUUUUUUUUUUGUUUUUUUUUAAGGCAUGUUAGUAAGUAUUAAUCGCUUGUUCUUAUCUUAUGGAAUCCAACAACACGAGUGUAAGAAGAUACCAUUUCCAACAUUUUCAGAAGCGGAAAAAUGCUUGAGUUACGCAGAGUAUGGAAUUGGGAAUUUUGAAGGUAGUUAUGAGGUUAUGGUGUAUCCGUUGAAAAAUAACAAAUGGAAAGGAGUUGAGGAAAUCUAUAUCGAUACUCUUGUUCACCGAAAUGUACCUGAUAGGGCUCGGAUGCCUGUUAACGGAGCUCUGCACUGGAUAGCAGAUGUGGAAAGCCUGUUAAGUUAACCAGAUGCCACAGCCUUAAUUACCUGAGUGAUGAAAAUGCUGGAAUGAGUUUGUGUGUUUUAGGAGGAUCUCUGUGCUUGCUUGGCUUUGAUCCUGAGGUUGGUGCAGAUGUGAGGGAGAUGAAGCAAGAUGAGAUGUAAAAUCAUGGAACAAGCUAUUCACAGUUGAAGUAUUUAACGCCCUUGCUUAAGUAUAAUGCUACCAGUUGGGGUGAAAAAUGGUGUGACUGCACAAUUGAAAGGGUCAAAACGAAAAGAAAAAAACUGUCUUCCUAGCAACAGCAUCCUGAGGAUCAGGUGUUGAAUAAAAGAUUUUAGCUGAUAAUUGGAAGCCAUCUCGUAUGUGCUUAAAUUUUUAUGGAAAUUCACAAUUGCUUA
This is a long non-coding RNA of Papaver somniferum (opium poppy), 932 nucleotides long. RefSeq lists it as uncharacterized. The transcript has 2 exons. NCBI's taxonomy places the organism in Eukaryota, Viridiplantae, Streptophyta, Magnoliopsida, Ranunculales, Papaveraceae. The record is from RefSeq and is a predicted model, not a curated record.